UUAACUCAAUUUUGUAUGGAGUUGAAUCGUUUGCUUACGUUUGCCGCUAGGGGCGCUGUUCCAACUGCAUACAAAUUUGCGUUA
Non-coding RNA from Bombyx mori (domestic silkworm), 84 nucleotides. Lineage: Eukaryota; Metazoa; Arthropoda; Insecta; Lepidoptera; Bombycidae. The record is from Rfam.